Molecule: long non-coding RNA, 358 nt
Organism: Mytilus trossulus (common blue mussel)
Lineage: Eukaryota; Metazoa; Mollusca; Bivalvia; Mytilida; Mytilidae
Exons: 4
Source: RefSeq, a predicted model, not a curated record
AGUCCCUCAUAGAUCUGAUGAACGUGCUGUUGUUCGCAGCCAACCAAUCAACAUGGGAAGAAAAACAGGAUAUGAAGGCAGCACCAUAGUUCUUGAAAAUAAAUCAGAUUAUAUCAAGAAGCAUCUCAAGUGUUCUGUACAUGGAACCUGAUUUCAAGUAUACUACAGAGUCGAUAGAUGUAAAAACAGAUUUAUUACCUGUACAAUUCGACACUGGAAAUAAUUCAAACACAAGUAUUGCUAAUUCUACAGAAUCAGCAGAACCAGAAUACUUCACUGACAUGGAGAAACUGCAGGUUUUCUCAUUUAAAAACAAAGCUAUUGUGUCUAUGCUUUCAGCAAAAGAACUAAAUCCAAG